UCAAGUACAUUCCUCUUCGAAUAUCAGUGACUCCAUUUAUCUCCUCCUAGGAUCGUACAAUUUUUCAAACGAUAAAAAGACUAGGAAAUUUCGUUCAUUCGCUUGCUUGAUUCGUGAAAGUUGAAUUGCAUCUAUAUUUGAAUUAUUCUAACUUCGCGAAGAAAAAUAGCCUGGGGUUAUUUUGCAAGAAGGUUCCAUUCUCGCCCUACUAAGUUGAUUUUUCUCGACGAUGCUUUUAUAAGAAAAAGCAAGAUAAGAAAAUGAAAAUAUAUUCUCUUUUAAAAAUGUUAUAAAGUCAGAAACGUGUUCCGUAUAUUUCAUGCGUUUAUAUGUUCUUUGAAUUUGAUGCAGAUAAUUAAACCAUCGACCAAAGGCAAAAUGUGCAACGUCCUAUCGCAAAAAUAAAAAUCUGUAGAAAGUCGUAAGUUAAUGGAUACGUGGAAAUAAUAUUACGAAUUAUUCCAUUGAAUAUAAUUCGAGGGUGUAAUUCCUUUAUCGAGGAUAGAUAUCCAAAAAUGAGAGAAUCCCUUAAUCUCUUAAUUCUAUGCCGCGGCAAAUAUUCUUCAACCAGUUUGAUAAGACGACGAACACAAAGCGGUUGGACCCUUGAAUUACGACCGAAUCAAUGGAACAGCCGCAAGGGAAGCGGAGUGUGAACAGCGGCAAUGUUCCAUCGUACGUAUCCAAAUAUUGGCCCAUUACAUGAUCAUAAUGCUUCCUCACCUCGUGUAUUAAACUCUCGUUCCGGGCUCCGUACAGUUUGCCCAGGGAUGAAUAAGGUAGACCUGUGUGUACAUGCCGCUCGUUCUGAUCUAGGCCACGUUUCCUUUUGUGUCCUGUUAUCGGCUCUUGCACCUCGCACAAUGCUCUCCCGCGAACAUAUUGUGCAUGCAGUUCAACUUCUCUUGGACGGAGCCCUCUGUUACUCGUUUUCUUGUAACAAAACGACCACUAACUCCCCGAGAGAGAGAGAGAGAGAGAAAAUCGCUGUUUCUCUAGUGAAAAUCACACAAGUUCCUGAUACCAGCGUUUCGCGACAAACGCGAGUUCUCUUCCUCCAUUUACAAUAAUACGCAGCUAGAUAUCCGGUCCCUUUCAAAGUAUCGCUUCCUUUUCUUAUUCUCACCCUUCUUUACUGUUGGCAAUAUUCGUAUUUUUCAAAUACUCGUUUCUUUCUUCGCAACAUAUUAUAUACGUAUACUAUACCAGAGGAAUAUUUUUCUUACAUUGUGCAGGAGAAAAGUUGGAAAUCUCCUUAAUAAUUCUUUGUAUCUUUGUCAAAACUGCUCCAAAUUUUCUUUCGUCGCGUUCAUUUUAUAUAUUUUUACAACGCGUAUCGUAUUUAAGUUUGUAUCCUACGCAUGUUUGGAGCUUCAACGUUAUAAUCGUACAAUAUAUACAUCGUAUAUUAGAGCGUUGACAAUAUUGAAGAUUAUCGAUCCGCGAUGGUUAAUUUCUUAGUACGAUGACUAACCAUUGGUACAUGGAACUAGGAAUUUCAAGAUCACGAGCAAAGAAAUUUCGCUGUGUUUCAAUUUUUACGAAUAUCGUUCGAAGAGUGACAAAAGUUCGAGGUUUCAAGAAAAUACAUUUGCAACGUUGAAGCAUCGAAAUCGAAGCGAUCAACGAUGAAUCAGUAGCACGAACUAGAAUUGCCUCGGAGGACAAAUAACGCGACACGUAGUCCGGCUUGUAUUCCAAUUUAGGACGUAUUUCCUCCCGCGUCGUAUUAUUGAUUUCCGCCCUUUGUGUCGCGUGAUCAAGAAAAUUGCCGUCGCGCUACCGAGGAAGCACAUCAAUGCCGGGAAACGAGCUCGACGAAGGAGGGGAUGGUGGAGCAUCUACCCCGGAACGGGUAAUGCACCAUCCGUCGCCGAUAGAGCAACUGCACGCCAGGUCUCGAGCAAACGAAUUCGCCUCCGGUUGUUCGUUUUCAUUACCUAAUGAUCGGUACGGUUCAAGUCCGUCGAAUUUUCUCUUUUCGAGAUCGUUGGGAAUUGAAUAGACUGCUAUGGCCGCAACCGGUCGAGUGUAACUAACAGGUUUUGGGUGGAAAGGUGUGGAAGAACAAUUUUCGUUGAACGAAUUUCAUUGAAAGUAUCUUCUGCGCAUAGUCGAUACGUUGAUCGGAAACAGUAGCUUUGUGGAAGUUAGAGAGCAACGCGGUUUGGUAAGAAAGAGACAGUACGAAGUAACGAACACACAGCGGUGGGUAGAAUUUUCGAGUAAGGGGAUGAAUAGGGGUGCCUUGACCACGAUAUAAUGUAUCAAAGGGAGAUAUGAUAUAGCAGCAUGAUGGUGCAAAAUAUUUGUUGGGAUCCCUGAUAUCGAACAAAGGCGAGUCUCUCUCGAUUCGAAUACAGUUUUGCACCUGGAUGACUCGAUUCAUAGUCGAGGGUCUGUCAAACGUAAUUCGAAUUCGAGUGCCGUAUCAACUUCUAUUAACAUCGUUACUCCGCUUUUCUCGAUUCUUCUACAUAAAACGCGCUUCUAAAUCAUAUAAUCGUAAUACUCGUUUAAAUACACACUCGACGAUCUCCCUCCCGUGGUUGGUUUCUGGUUGGAACAAGUGGAAAGGCCACUUUAAACGAGGCGAUCAUGCAAUUAAGCGUUUCGAUUUUCGCGAGAGGCAAACGUCAGCAGCGUCGUACGGUGGAAGCGGCAACGAGAAUAAACCGAGACGGGAGGACGGCGAGGGUUGGAUGAGAAAGAAAAAGAGAAAACACAGAGAGAGAAUACACCGUCCCGUGGGAUCUGUUGGGCAUUGUUGAGGGGGUUGUUUGGUUCGUCGCCCGUCGUUCGAGGGCGCCACCGUUUUCCCUCUCUGGCACACCUCCCCUUUCCGUUCUCGCCCCCUUCUCCACCGCCACCUCUGUCCAUUCCUCUUGUCAGAAAGGAAGAGGGGCACCUUUCCAUGGUGGUGGGAGGGCGGGGGGGGGGAGAGGUUUAGCUCGGGACUGUCACUCAGUGAUGGAUGAUUCUACCCCAACGCGAUCAAUUCGCCUACCACGCGCGUGUACAUGCCUCGGGGGUGAAACUCACCCUUCGUGCUCUUUCCCUUCGCCCUGUCGCGAAUCGCGCCGCUUCCGACCGAUCUAGCGGAAAGACGAAUUUCUUCGUUGGUUACGUGCCAUCGCUGGAGGAAUGUCUUUGAAAACCACUCCCUGCGAAAAGAGAAAGAAAACUGGGAGGAAGAAGCUCGAAGGAUACUAAAGGCGAGAGCACGGUAGACGCGGAGAACUACAAGGCACACACUGUACAGGGGAGAUAGGAUACACGGUUUGCGGGCGUAUCGACUCGGCCAGCCUGGAACCAGCCAGGAAUCAGCCAGGAACCAGCCAGAAACCAGGGAUAUUCGAUGGCUUAGCGUUGACACGAUAACACCGGUGUUGCGAAGCCAACGUCAAUGGUGACGAUUGCUGGACGAUGUUGCUGACAGGUUUAUAACGACACUGGAAAAUAAUCCGCGCUUUCCUGGAUCGACUACACCGAGCUGUUUAUUAUUCCAACCGACUCCCAGUGACAGACUUGUGAAUAAAGGCGAUCCCUGAAGAUGUUUUUAGAUUACAGAUUACAUCGAAAACGAUUUGCACGUCGUUUGCAACUACAACCAAACUGUUUGCCGAAAAUUGGAUUAUCACUUAAAUCGAGUUCAGCUAGCUUGAGCUCGAUUGAAAUAUCAAUAACGCGUCGGAAAAAUAAAUUGUUUAUUAUUUAUCGAUGUAAGCGUCCGGCUAUUAAGAAAUUUAAUUAUUUUACACAGAUAAUAAACCACGUGUUCCAUUUUAUAUGAGUAGCGACGAAAGUCUGUGAUUUUUAGACCACAGACAGACAGAAUGCUUGAAAAUUUAUCAAGAGUGGCAUUGGAAAAAACCGGCACCGAUUAACGUGAAACCUUAGAUGACAGACAGUAACCGAAAACCGUGAAACACAUGUUCGAUUCUCACAGCUCCAUUUUUUCGAGGUUGAUACCACUCGCUACCAAGUUGUAUACGCAGUCUGGUUGGAGUACACACGAUGGUUUCGAGUGUUCGUCUACAAACAAAAUCCGGUAUGACACGCCAUAAGCUAUUGAUUUCAAUGGGGGGUGGAGUUUCGAAGGGGGUGUACGUACAGUCGUGAAUUAAUGUUUGGUGUAUCAUCCGCGUAUCUUGUUGUAAAAUAAUCGGUGUGCCAUACCGUGUUACAUUUAAAUAAAAAGGUGAUACAGGUGCAUUUUUGCAAAAACUACAAGAUAUUUAUAUAAGAUGCUUGUUUUCGUAUAAAUUAUUAAUCUUCAGAACUACCCCGAUGCCUCUCAUAUUUUCUCAAAUCGAAGAUUCGUCAUUUGCAUUAUAUUUUCAACGAAGAUCACGUACGAACGAUUGAAAAUCAAAUUGAUUAAAUAUAUUUUCUGGCAGCUUUAUAACACAAAUUUUUUUAUACAUUUAGUAUUUAAUAUUUAUUUUAGAAAGCAAAUCAAUAACUAAGAAUAACAAAGUCGAUUAGUUCGACUUCUAUGUAUACAUCAUAUGUGUUAUAUAAAACAAUUUGGAAUUUCAUUGAUAAAGAGAGUAUUUAAACGGACGAUAAAUGAUCGCGCAAUUCGAUCUUUUCGCUAAUUAAUUAUUUUUAUCUCGGCAAAAAAUCAGCAAUAUAUUGUACUCGUAAUUGGCUAGGAGAGGAAUCAGCGAGCUUGCUUGGACGAUGGUGAAUUAGAGACGAGUCGAGGACGUUAUCGCGAGCGCGGCCAGAUCGCUUUCCACAUCGACGAGCUCUUAUCGUUCUUUGCCGGCAGAAAGAAAUUAGAAUUCCUACUGGAAAAUCAGGGAAGAUUAUCGUCGGGGGAGGGUGGGCCUCUGAC
Molecule: long non-coding RNA, 4843 nt
Organism: Bombus terrestris (buff-tailed bumblebee)
Lineage: Eukaryota; Metazoa; Arthropoda; Insecta; Hymenoptera; Apidae
Exons: 3
Source: RefSeq, a predicted model, not a curated record